Molecule: ribosomal RNA, 771 nt
Filed under: uncultured Neocallimastigales
Lineage: Eukaryota; Fungi; Neocallimastigomycota; Neocallimastigomycetes; Neocallimastigales
Description: partial large subunit ribosomal RNA
Rfam family: Eukaryotic large subunit ribosomal RNA
Source: RNAcentral
GUACACGCUGUGACUAGCAUAUCAAUAAGCGGAGGAAAAGAAACUAACAAGGAUUCCCCUAGUAACGGCGAGUGAAGCGGGAAGAGCUCAAAUUUGAAAUCUUAAAGGGUUUCCCUUUACGAAUUGUAGUUUAAAGAAGUGUUUUCUGUUGAGGUUUUGGUAAAAGUUCUUUGGAAUAGGACAUCAUAGAGGGUGAGAAUCCCGUAUUUGACCUUUACUUUCAACUUUGUGAUACACUUUCAAAGAGUCGGAUUGUUUGGGAAUGCAGUCCAAAAUGGGUGGUAAAUUUCAUCUAAAGCUAAAUAUUGGCGAGAGACCGAUAGCGAACAAGUACCGUGAGAGAAAGAUGAAAAGAACUUGAAAAGAGAGUUAAACAGUACGUGAAAUUGUCAAAAGGGAAGCGUUUGACACCAGUGUUGUUUUUCUGAAAAUCAAUUAAAGAACUGUUUAUGCUAAGUUGUUUAGACUUUAUCAGCUAACUGUUUAGUUUUGAGCUUUUCUUUAUGCACUUUUCAGUUAACAAGUCAACAUCAAUUUCUUUUGCUGUAAAAAAGCUUGAGGAAGGUGGCUUGAAAUUCGUCUUAAGUGUUUAUAGCCUCUUGCCUAUGCAGUCGGAGAGAUUGAGGUCUGCAGCGUAGAUCCUUCGGGGCUAAAUGCAUUUGUGCUAAGUUAUAGCAUUUUAUAGACAACUUGUUGACUAUGAUUUGUCUUGUAGCUUACUCGCUUAUGUUAUUUUACCUACGCUUAGGAUGUUGACUGAUAUGUAGUCGU